RNAcentral lists this antisense RNA (75 nucleotides) under Streptomyces sp. 2112.2. Its description in RNAcentral is "ASpks TB sRNA". It matches the Rfam family "ASpks TB sRNA". Lineage: Bacteria; Bacillati; Actinomycetota; Actinomycetes; Kitasatosporales; Streptomycetaceae. The record is from RNAcentral. RNAcentral also lists the same sequence under 3 other names.
CUUGAGCGAGCCGAGCCAUAGCGGCCGGUCCUCGUCACGAUCCUUGCCAUAGGUGGCGAGCAGCGCCUGCGCCUC